AAUCCAUAGGUUAAUGAGGCGAACCGGGGGAACUGAAACAUCUAAGUACCCCGAGGAAAAGAAAUCAACCGAGAUUCCCCCAGUAGCGGCGAGCGAACGGGGAGGAGCCCAGAGCCUGAAUCAGCAUGUGUGUUAGUGGAAGCGUCUGGAAAGGCGCGCGAUACAGGGUGACAGCCCCGUACACAAAAGCGCAUGUGCUGUGAGCUCGAUGAGUAGGGCGGGACACGUGGUAUCCUGUCUGAAUAUGGGGGGACCAUCCUCCAAGGCUAAAUACUCCUGACUGACCGAUAGUGAACCAGUACCGUGAGGGAAAGGCGAAAAGAACCCCGGCGAGGGGAGUGAAAAAGAACCUGAAACCGUGUACGUACAAGCAGUGGGAGCACCCUUUGGGUGUGACUGCGUACCUUUUGUAUAAUGGGUCAGCGACUUAUAUUCUGUAGCAAGGUUAACCGAAUAGGGGAGCCGGAGGGAAACCGAGUCUUAACCGGGCGUUAAGUUGCAGGGUAUAGACCCGAAACCCGGUGAUCUAGCCAUGGGCAGGUUGAAGGUUGGGUAACACUAACUGGAGGACCGAACCGACUAAUGUUGAAAAAUUAGCGGAUGACCUGUGGCUGGGGGUGAAAGGCCAAUCAAACCGGGAGAUAGCUGGUUCUCCCCGAAAGCUAUUUAGGUAGCGCCUCGUGAAUUCAUCUCCGGGGGUAGAGCACUGUUUCGGCUAGGGGGCCAUCCCGGCUUACCAACCCGAUGCAAACUGCGAAUACCGGAGAAUGUUAUCACGGGAGACACACGGCGGGUGCUAACGUCCGUCGUGAAGAGGGAAACAACCCAGACCGCCAGCUAAGGUCCCAAAGUCA
RNAcentral lists this ribosomal RNA (854 nucleotides) under Salmonella enterica. Its description in RNAcentral is "partial 23S ribosomal RNA". It matches the Rfam family "Bacterial large subunit ribosomal RNA", at positions 161 to 1055 of the family's 2925-position model. Lineage: Bacteria; Pseudomonadati; Pseudomonadota; Gammaproteobacteria; Enterobacterales; Enterobacteriaceae. The record is from RNAcentral.